This is a long non-coding RNA of Etheostoma spectabile (orangethroat darter), 812 nucleotides long. RefSeq lists it as uncharacterized. NCBI's taxonomy places the organism in Eukaryota, Metazoa, Chordata, Actinopteri, Perciformes, Percidae. The record is from RefSeq and is a predicted model, not a curated record. The transcript has 2 exons.
GUGUGUGUGUGUGUGUGUGUGUGUGUGUGUGUGUGUGUGUGUGUGUUAGUGUGUGUAGAUAUUGCACUAUCACAGGCUGUUGUAGCUGAAUGUAGUUCAUCUCUUCAUCUAUCAGACUGUUUGAAGUCUGAUUUCUGUCAGUAUUUUCUUUGCACAAAUGUAUGUGUGCGUGUGUGUGUCUGUGUGUGUGUGUCUGUGUGUGUGUUUGUGUGUGUCCGUCCGUGUCCUACGCACAACAUGACACUUUUUGUGGAACAAAUGUUUUCUUUUAAGUGUUAAGUGUUGGCUCCACAGCUCCUCUCCAUGGUCACAGUCUCUUAUAAUCCCGGAUGUUGGCCAUGUGACUUGCAAACAAUGUUUAAUUGAGGACAUUCAAACAACACAAAAGCCAUUUGGACUUGGACAUUUUGGACUAUGACAGAUAUGUAGUGAUGACCUUAACUUCAAUGAACUCCAAAAAAAGGAAAGAAUAACAUUCACAGCAACAGGAGCAAGAAGACCAUCUGCAACAAGAACAGCAGAAUGUGGGCAAACAGAGUUUACUUCUUCUGUAUUGUUGGAUGUGGCGUUGUCUUAGAUUGUACAGAUGUACUUAGUGAAGUGUAUAGAGACAGGGAGCAUUUAAGUCCCGCCCCCACCGGGGGGGAAAACAACCCUCCGCUCUACAUCGACUUGUUUUAAGUGAAUGUUCCCACCGCGUCAAUUACGUCUGCUAGCAAUCAACAGAAACAUGCUUAAAAGCUGCGUGUGGUGAUAUUCACUACCAACAAUGUAAAGAACCCAGAACUUAAGUUUUCAUAAGCUGCUGACCU